This 490-nucleotide long non-coding RNA is filed under the name Homo sapiens (human). RNAcentral's name for it is "HSALNT0351492". Lineage: Eukaryota; Metazoa; Chordata; Mammalia; Primates; Hominidae. The record is from RNAcentral.
AGCAUGCCCAAUGUAAGCACUGUCCUUUCAUCCUGAAUCCUGGACAAAGAGACUUAUGGAGCAGGUGUGAACCCAGUCUGCAUACUGGAGCCACAUGCAGCUUAACUGGCCAGGCUGCUCCGUCUAUCCAAGUGGGAGCUGCAAGCAAGUCCUGCCUCCUCUCCGCCAUCUUAACCCCUCAACCAGUAAAUGUUUAAAGACACAAAUCUCAAGCCCUCUCAGUCUCCACUCUUCAAAAGUCCGUCCUUUCCUGACUUUACGUGGCAGAAAGACAAUCUGCCUUGCAGCAAGUUUAUGGAUAACACGGAGUUCCCCUGCAAUGAAUAUGUGAACCCUCUGUUCUUCAGGAUAGCACUUGGGAUGAUGUGGAGUUGCUCAGGCCAGGACCUCCAGUACCAUACUGAAUUGAAAUGGUAAGUGAACAUCUUUGUCUUAUUCCUGGUCUUAGAGUAAAAGCUUUAAACUUUUACCAUUGAGUAUGAUAUUAGUU